GGGGAGGUGGCCAAGUGGUAAGGCAGCGGCCUGCAAAGCCGCCAUUCGCCGGUUCGAAUCCGGUCCUCCCCU
Molecule: transfer RNA, 72 nt
Filed under: Deltaproteobacteria bacterium
Lineage: Bacteria; Pseudomonadati; Myxococcota; Myxococcia
Description: tRNA-Cys
Rfam family: tRNA
About the family: Transfer RNA (tRNA) molecules are approximately 80 nucleotides in length. Their secondary structure includes four short double-helical elements and three loops (D, anti-codon, and T loops).
Source: RNAcentral